GAACCUGCGGAGGGAUCAUUACAGAGUUGCAAAACUCCCUAAACCAUUGUGAACGUUACCUUUACCGUUGCUUCGGCGGGCGGCCCGGGUCCUGCCCGGCGCCCCUCGGCCCUCGCGGGCGCCCGCCGGAGGAAAACCAAACCAUUGCAUUGUAUGGCCUCUCUGAGUCUUCUGUACUGAAUAAGUCAAAACUUUCAACAACGGAUCUCUUGGUUCUGGCAUCGAUGAAGAACGCAGCGAAAUGCGAUAAGUAAUGUGAAUUGCAGAAUUCAGUGAAUCAUCGAAUCUUUGAACGCACAUUGCGCCCGCCAGUAUUCUGGCGGGCAUGCCUGUUCGAGCGUCAUUUCAACCAUCAAGCCCCCGGCUUGUGUUGGGGACCUGCGGCUGCCGCAGGCCCUGAAAACCAGUGGCGGGCUCGCUGUCACUCCGAGCGUAGUAGUUUACAUCUCGCUCAGGGCGUGCUGCGGGUUCCGGCCGUUAAAAGCCUUAUUUUACCCAAGGUUGACCUCGGAUCAGGUAGGAAGACCCGCUACUUAAGCAUAUCAAU
RNAcentral lists this ribosomal RNA (547 nucleotides) under fungal sp. ARIZ B599. RNAcentral's name for it is "eukaryotic LSU rRNA". The stretch from base 190 to 343 matches the Rfam family "5.8S ribosomal RNA". The record is from RNAcentral. Lineage: Eukaryota; Fungi.